This is a long non-coding RNA of Pseudophryne corroboree (corroboree frog), 525 nucleotides long. RefSeq lists it as uncharacterized. The transcript is spliced from 3 exons. The record is from RefSeq and is a predicted model, not a curated record. Lineage: Eukaryota; Metazoa; Chordata; Amphibia; Anura; Myobatrachidae.
GUGCCAGAUCCCGGCCAGCAGCAGCAGCAUAUAUCACACUGACAGCGUGCAGGAGGAUGUCCUAUGAAGCUCUCUGUAGCAGCACAGCCCACAUCCCAGGCAGCAGUCUCCUAUCCUACAGACGUAAACCAUGAAAAGGAGGCCUGGAAGGCGAAGGGGUAUGGUCAGGAGUCCUCAGGACUCUGGAGAGAUGGACAAGUCUGAGAAAUAUUGAACGAGGAUGGAUCAAGAAAGGGAUUGAAGGACCAACCUUAUAACGAUGUUGUGGACAUUAACUUAUUACAUUUUUGUAACAAGUUUGGCGCAAGGACUUAUCAUUACCUUUUUGACUAUUUACAUGUAUACAAUGUUUGGUGACUUGUUUUUAGGAUUGUGUCUUUGCUGCCCUUCUAGUGGCGCCCAGGUUUGGUACACAUUCCACUUUCACAUAUUUACAUCUCUAGGGCACCCCACCUGUGAGAUUAAUGUGGCAGCAGCAUAAGUGAGGUCUGAGUGUCAUACUCUUGAUCCCAAUAUUAAGAGUUA